Molecule: ribosomal RNA, 497 nt
Filed under: uncultured bacterium
Lineage: Bacteria
Description: partial 16S ribosomal RNA
Rfam family: Bacterial small subunit ribosomal RNA
Source: RNAcentral
GAUGAACGCUGGCGGCGUGCCUAAUACAUGCAAGUCGAGCGAACAGAUGAGGAGCUUGCUCCUCUGACGUUAGCGGCGGACGGGUGUGUAACACGUGGAUAACCUACCUAUAAGACUGGGAUAACUUCGGGAAACCGGAGCUAAUACCGGAUAAUAUAUUGAACCGCAUGGUUCAAUAGUGAAAGACGGUUUUGCUGUCACUUAUAGAUGGAUCCGCGCCGCAUUAGCUAGUUGGUAAGGUAACGGCUUACCAAGGCAACGAUGCGUAGCCGACCUGAGAGGGUGAUCGGCCACACUGGAACUGAGACACGGUCCAGACUCCUACGGGAGGCAGCAGUAGGGAAUCUUCCGAAAUGGGCGAAAGCCUGACGGAGCAACGCCGCGUGAGUGAUGAAGGUCUUCGGAUCGUAAAACUCUGUUAUUAGGGAAGAACAAAUGUGUAAGUAACUAUGCACGUCUUGACGGUACCUAAUCAGAAAGCCACGGCUAACUACGUG